GAUGAACGCUGGCGGCGUGUCUAAGGCAUGCAAGUUGAAUGGUUUGGUUUCCAGACCAUGGCAAACGGGAGAGUAACACAUUGGUAAUUUACCCCAAAGACGAGAAUAAUCCAGAGAAAUCUGGAAUAAUACUCGAUAUUAUAAGCUGUCAUAUGAUAGCUUAUCAAAGCUCCGGCGCUUUGGGAGAAGCCUAUGGUCUAUCAGCUAGUUGGUGAGGUAAUGGCUCACCAAGGCGACGACGGAUAACGGGUGUGAGAGCAUGACCCGUCUCACUGGGACUGAGACACUGCCCAGACUCCUACGGGUGGCAG
Molecule: ribosomal RNA, 311 nt
Filed under: uncultured Parcubacteria group bacterium
Lineage: Bacteria
Description: bacterial SSU rRNA
Rfam family: Bacterial small subunit ribosomal RNA
Source: RNAcentral